Molecule: ribosomal RNA, 342 nt
Filed under: Triticum aestivum (bread wheat)
Lineage: Eukaryota; Viridiplantae; Streptophyta; Magnoliopsida; Poales; Poaceae
Description: partial small subunit ribosomal RNA
Source: RNAcentral
AUGCACCACCACCUCUCUGAAGCAGAACUGAUAAAACUUGGCGGAUGUGUACUUGUUGCCCCAGCUAUAGGACCAUGCAUCAGCAGUCGCCGUGUUGAUGUAGCUAGCCGCCGUGACGGCCUGGAGCUGGCCACUUCCUGGUGGGCUUGGGCAGACAACGGUAAGCAGAAGACGGCGUUCAAAGAGCUGGUCAGAAGAAAUUCGCGGACAGAAACGUCUUCAUUAGUGGUGAAGGAGAAGGCCCUUUGGUAUUUUUCUGCGAAGAUUUGGCCACACCACAAGUCCUUCCAGAAUAAUGUCGUCUCUCCACUUCCAACAGUGACAGAGGAGAUCCCUCGGUAA